GCUCCAAUAGCGUAUAUUAUUAAUGUUGCAGUUGAAACGUUCGUAGUCGAACUAUUUCUGUUAGGAUAGAGCAUCAAUCUAUGAUUGUGCACUAUUUCCAGCGGAAAAUGUGUUACUUUUUUAGUAUGUUUCAUACUUUAAAGGUAACAUUCUACUUUGAGUGAAUCGGCGUGUUCCACGCACUUACGCCUUGAACGAUU
This 200-nucleotide ribosomal RNA is filed under the name uncultured eukaryote. Its description in RNAcentral is "partial 18S ribosomal RNA". It matches the Rfam family "Eukaryotic small subunit ribosomal RNA", at positions 588 to 804 of the family's 1831-position model. The record is from RNAcentral.